GUGGGGAAUCUUGCGCAAUGGGCGAAAGCCUGACGCAGCCAUGCCGCGUGAAUGAUGAAGGUCUUAGGAUUGUAAAAUUCUUUCACCGGGGACGAUAAUGACGGUACCCGGAGAAGAAGCCCCGGCUAACUUCGUGCCAGCAGCCGCGGUAAUACGAAGGGGGCUAGCGUUGCUCGGAAUUACUGGGCGUAAAGGGCGCGUAGGCGGACAGUUUAGUCAGAGGUGAAAGCCCAGGGCUCAACCUUGGAAUUGCCUUUGAUACUGGCUGUCUUGAGUACGGGAGAGGUGAGUGGAACUCCGAGUGUAGAGGUGAAAUUCGUAGAUAUUCGGAAGAACACCAGUGGCGAAGGCGACUCACUGGCCCGUUACUGAUGCUGAGGCGCGAAAGCGUGGGGAGCAAACAGGAUUAGAAACCCUUGUAGUCC
Molecule: ribosomal RNA, 425 nt
Filed under: uncultured bacterium
Lineage: Bacteria
Description: partial 16S ribosomal RNA
Rfam family: Bacterial small subunit ribosomal RNA
Source: RNAcentral